UGGCUCAGUUGGUAGAGCAUGGUGGUUGCAACGCCAGGGUUGUGGGUUCGAUUCCCAC
Salmo salar (Atlantic salmon) is the source of this 58-nucleotide non-coding RNA. The record is from Rfam. NCBI's taxonomy places the organism in Eukaryota, Metazoa, Chordata, Actinopteri, Salmoniformes, Salmonidae.